Molecule: ribosomal RNA, 742 nt
Filed under: uncultured bacterium
Lineage: Bacteria
Description: bacterial SSU rRNA
Rfam family: Bacterial small subunit ribosomal RNA
Source: RNAcentral
AGAGUUUGAUCAUGGCUCAGAACGAACGCUGGCGGCAUGCCUAACACAUGCAAGUCGAACGAGACCUUCGGGUCUAGUGGCGCACGGGUGCGUAACGCGUGGGAAUCUGCCCUUGGGUACGGAAUAACUCAGAGAAAUUUGUGCUAAUACCGUAUAAUGACUUCGGUCCAAAGAUUUAUCGCCCAAGGAUGAGCCCGCGUAAGAUUAGCUAGUUGGUGGGGUAAAAGCCUACCAAGGCGACGAUCUUUAGCUGGUCUGAGAGGAUGAUCAGCCACACUGGGACUGAGACACGGCCCAGACUCCUACGGGAGGCAGCAGUGGGGAAUAUUGGACAAUGGGCGAAAGCCUGAUCCAGCAAUGCCGCGUGAGUGAUGAAGGCCCUAGGGUUGUAAAGCUCUUUUACCCGGGAUGAUAAUGACAGUACCGGGAGAAUAAGCUCCGGCUAACUCCGUGCCAGCAGCCGCGGUAAUACGGAGGGAGCUAGCGUUGUUCGGAAUUACUGGGCGUAAAGCGCACGUAGGCGGCGAUUUAAGUCAGAGGUGAAAGCCCGGGGCUCAACCCCGGAACUGCCUUUGAGACUGGAUUGCUAGAAUCUUGGAGAGGCGAGUGGAAUUCCGAGUGUAGCGGUGAAAUGCGUAGAUAUUGGGAAGAACACCGGUGGCGUAGGCGACUAGCUGGGCUGUAACUGACGCUGAGGAACGAAAGCCAGGGGAGCAAAUGGGAUUAGAUACCCCGGUAGUCC